AACGAACGCUGGCGGCGCGCUUAACACAUGCAAGUCGAACGAGAAGGCGUAGCAAUACGCUUGUACAGUGGCGAACGGGUGAGUAAUACGUGGGCGACCUACCCUCGAGUGGGGAAUAACCCGCCGAAAGGCGGGCUAAUGCCGCGUACGCUUCCAUCUUUAUGGAGGUGGAAGGAAAGCCGUGCCGUGGGCACGGCGCUCAAGGAUGGGCUCACGUCCUAUCAGCUUGUUGGUA
RNAcentral lists this ribosomal RNA (235 nucleotides) under uncultured bacterium. RNAcentral's name for it is "partial 16S ribosomal RNA". It matches the Rfam family "Bacterial small subunit ribosomal RNA", at positions 29 to 254 of the family's 1533-position model. The record is from RNAcentral.